This 253-nucleotide unclassified non-coding RNA is filed under the name uncultured Gammaproteobacteria bacterium. Its description in RNAcentral is "contains 16S-23S intergenic spacer region". It matches the Rfam family "Bacterial small subunit ribosomal RNA", at positions 524 to 776 of the family's 1533-position model. Lineage: Bacteria; Pseudomonadati; Pseudomonadota; Gammaproteobacteria. The record is from RNAcentral.
UACGGAGGGUGCAAGCGUUAAUCGGAAUUACUGGGCGUAAAGCGCGCGUAGGCGGUUUGGUAAGUCGGAUGUGAAAGCCCAGGGCUUAACCUUGGAAUUGCAUUCGAUACUGCAGAACUAGAGUAUGGUAGAGGGAAGUGGAAUUUCGGGUGUAGCGGUGUAAUGCGUAGAUAUAGGAAGGAACACCAGUGGCGAAGGCGACUUGCUGGGCCAAUACUGACGCUGAGGUACGAAAGCGUGGGGAGCAAACAGG